CAUUACAGUGAUUGGUUCCCCCAUUCACGCCUCUUCGUUAAGCGCGUAGUGAUUGGCUGUACAGAUUUUGUACUCAACGGUGAUUGGCUGAAGACACUGACAGUUAUCUGACGUAUCCGGUGUCCUUCAUGCAGCAGGAAUGGCGACCUACACGUUAAUGCGAAGCAGUUUGGGACUGUUAAAUGGCUUAAAAUGUUCUUUUAAAAGUGUAGGCCAGAUUCCAUACGGGGCAGCGGCUGGAGCAAUUACCCAGUCGAAAGUGUUGCAAAAUGCGAGAUGGUAUGCUGUCAGCCACAUCUCUGUGCAGGAGAGAAUUGACAAGAAGCGAAAGGCAGCGCUUGCGGGAGGAGGACGACAGAGAAUAGAUGCACAGCAUAAAAGGGGUAAACUGACAGCGCGCGAGAGAGUGGAGCUCUUGUUGGACCCUGACUCGUUCGUGGAGUAUGACAUGUUUGUGGAGCACCGCUGUUCUGACUUUGGCAUGGAGGCAGAUCAUAAUAAGUAUCCAGGUGACAGUGUUGUGACUGGACAGGGCAGGAUCAAUGGCAGGCUAGUCUAUGUUUUCAGCCAGGACUUCACAGUGUUUGGAGGCAGUUUAUCAGGAGCCCAUGCUCAAAAGAUCUGCAAGAUCAUGGACCAGGCAAUAAUGGUUGGAGCUCCAGUUAUAGGUCUCAAUGACUCUGGUGGAGCCCGAAUUCAGGAAGGUGUUGAGUCCCUGGCAGGAUAUGCUGACAUUUUCUUGCGUAAUGUAUUGGCGUCCGGUGUAGUUCCUCAGAUCUCUCUCAUCAUGGGCCCAUGUGCGGGAGGUGCGGUGUACUCACCUGCUCUCACAGACUUUACUUUCAUGGUGAAGGACACCUCCUACCUCUUUAUAACGGGACCAGAUGUGGUUAAAUCUGUUACUAAUGAAGAUGUUACCCAGGAGGAGCUCGGUGGAGCAAAAACACACACUGCAGUGUCUGGUGUUGCCCAUCGGGCUUUUGAGAAUGACAUUGAUGCCCUUCUUAAUUUACGAGACUUUUUCAACUUCCUCCCAUUGAGCAACAAAGAUCCAGCUCCUGUCGUUGAGUGCCAUGAUCCCAGUGAUCGCCUGGUUCCUGGUUUGGACACUGUUGUUCCUAUUGAAAGCACUAAAGCCUAUGACAUGCUGGACAUCAUUCAUGGUAUCGUAGAUGAGAGAGAAUUCUUUGAGAUUAUGCCCAACUAUGCAAAAAAUAUUGUGGUGGGUUUUGCCAGGAUGAAAGGCCGUACAGUAGGCAUAGUUGGAAACCAGCCAAAAGUGGCAUCUGGCUGCUUGGACAUAAAUUCAUCUGUUAAAGGGGCUCGCUUUGUGCGGUUCUGUGAUGCUUUCAACAUUCCCCUCAUCACAUUUGUAGAUGUGCCUGGAUUCUUGCCAGGCACAGCCCAAGAGUACGGAGGCAUCAUCAGACAUGGAGCCAAACUGCUUUUUGCUUUUGCAGAGGCAACUGUUCCAAAAAUCACAGUGAUCACUAGAAAGGCUUAUGGAGGUGCUUAUGAUGUGAUGAGUUCCAAACAUUUACGAGGAGAUGUCAACUAUGCUUGGCCAUCUGCUGAAGUCGCAGUGAUGGGUGCAAAAGUAACCCUGAGAACUAAAAUGAGUGCAAUAGCUAAUGCAAUUAAAUUUUAACUGAUUACUGUGGGUGAAUAAUGGGGAUUUCUACACUGGACAUUCAUCAGCUUUUAUUGGCAAACUGGGAACAAUGUUGUUUUCAUCCAUAAAAAUCAAGAAUUGGUCCUGUACAAAUGAACAUCUAAAUAAGAGUUAAAUGCUUUAUUCUACAGUAUAAAUAACAUGUGAAGGCAUUCAGAGAUACACUAGCUUCAGCCUUCAUGGUUGAUGAUAUACACUUACACUGCAGCAAUGAUCACUAUGCUUGGCUCCCAAACUUGUUAAUUUCCCUUCAACUGGUUUUAUUUCUAUGUUGGAGGCUGUAGCAGUGAGUUGAAUAUAAGGUGCUGAGUUUGCAACGCAGCAGCAGAGAUCAUGUCACAUGUUGAACUAUUUACAGUACAAACUAUAACCAUUUCUGCUGGUAGACCUUUAUUGGGUGCUGUUCAAAUCAUCUUCAGAGGAAAGGAGAACCAAGCUGAGGCUGAAGCUGAAUAUGUAGACAAGUUUGCCAAUCCCUUCCCAGCUGCUGUCAGA
Molecule: RNA transcript, 2167 nt
Organism: Myxocyprinus asiaticus (Chinese sucker)
Lineage: Eukaryota; Metazoa; Chordata; Actinopteri; Cypriniformes; Catostomidae
Gene name: propionyl-CoA carboxylase beta chain, mitochondrial-like
Exons: 14
Source: RefSeq, a predicted model, not a curated record